This 1272-nucleotide ribosomal RNA is filed under the name Triticum aestivum (bread wheat). RNAcentral describes it as "partial small subunit ribosomal RNA". Lineage: Eukaryota; Viridiplantae; Streptophyta; Magnoliopsida; Poales; Poaceae. The record is from RNAcentral.
AUGCAGGUGAGCGGCGGCGCCCGGGGAGCGAAGACUCUGGCCGGCGACGUGAACCCAAGCUUCGACAGCUUGCCGUUUCCCUCUGUGUUCAUCGCCGCUUCGGCGAAUCGUCUCCUCUUUCUCCGCUGCCGUGGCGCCGGUGCCCACCACCUGUUCGACGGGAUGCCUGAGACGCGCACCGACAGGAAGCAAAAGGAAGCGGACGCGGAGGACCACAUCAGCGCACUCCCGGACGCGAUCCUCGAGCAGGUGCUGUCGCUCCUCCCCGCCCACGAGGCCGUGCGUUCGUGCGUGCUCUCGCGCCGCUGGCGCGUGCUCUGGAAGUCCGUGACCAACCUGCGCAUCACCGACGCCGGCAGCUGGAGCAGCGCCGCCAAGUUCAACAGGUCGUCAACUUCAUGCUGCUCUUGCGCCCCGCCUGGAGCCUGCGCGAGGUCGAGCUCUGCACGUUUCCGGCGCAACAUGCUCGACCCUUUCCCUUUGUCCACACCAAGGAGCCGGGUCCUUGUCAGCCCAACAACCGAACCGCUGCGGCUCGUCGCGGUGCCUCUGAUCUCCCGGUACUUGACGACCCUGCAGCUUCAGUGUGUAGAGCUGGACGACGAUGCCUUGGAUUUCUCGAGCUGUCCUGUGUUGGAGGAUCUAAAGGUGAGCUUAUGCAUAAUUUCUGCUCAGAGGAUGUCAUCGCACUCGCUCAAGCACCUCUGUGUCGCUGAAUGUAGCAUUGCAUCGGAUUUCCGCACACGGAUUUCUACCCCGGGUCUUGUUUCGCUGCGCCUGAGUGUUCAGUGCUGGCGGGCUCCUCUGCUUGAAAGCAUGCCAUUACUAGUAACAGCAUAUGUCAAAAUUAGCCCCCUCCUGCUAGAUCAUCGAUGGUUUGGCUACCAUGGAGAUAGCACUUCUGAUAAUCCUGAUGGCAGUGGAAAGUGUGUGCUCCUUAGCGGUUUGAUCAAUGCUACGCAUUUGGAGUUGGAAGCUGCAGAUGGAGUGCAUAUUUUCAAGCUAGACUUGGCAUGCUGCCCUAUAUUCAACAAGUUAAAGACCUUGCUAGUCAAUGAGUGGGUUGUUGGUCGUGACUUUUGUGCACUACUUUGCUUUCUUCAACACACACCAGUUUUAGAGAAGCUCAUUAUUCUACUGCACGAGGAUCAAAAGCCUAUGAUGAAUAUGGGAGAAAGUCACCUUCAAUCUCUACGCCUUAAAACUGUUGAAUUCAGAUGCACAAAGGUUGAUGAAAGUGGUUCACAUUUGUUCAAAGAUGCUGACUCUUGA